RNAcentral lists this ribosomal RNA (480 nucleotides) under uncultured Desulfobulbus sp. Its description in RNAcentral is "bacterial SSU rRNA". It matches the Rfam family "Bacterial small subunit ribosomal RNA", at positions 910 to 1382 of the family's 1533-position model. Lineage: Bacteria; Pseudomonadati; Thermodesulfobacteriota; Desulfobulbia; Desulfobulbales; Desulfobulbaceae. The record is from RNAcentral.
AAGUUGACGGGGCCCGCACAAGCGGUGGAGUAUGUGGUUUAAUUCGAUGCAACGCGAAGAACCUUACCUGGUCUUGACAUCCCGGAGACCCUUAGGAAACUAGGGGGUGCUUCCAUCUGGAAGAAUCUGGAGACAGGUGCUGCAUGGCUGUCGUCAGCUCGUGUCGUGAGAUGUUGGGUUAAGUCCCGCAACGAGCGCAACCCUUGCCUUUAGUUGCCAGCAGUUCGGCUGGGCACUCUAAAGGGACUGCCGGUGUUAAACCGGAGGAAGGUGGGGAUGACGUCAAGUCCUCAUGGCCUUUAUGACCAGGGCUACACACGUACUACAAUGGCCGAUACAAAGGGCAGCGACACUGCGAGGUGAAGCCAAUCCCGUAAAAUCGGUCUCAGUCCGGAUUGGAGUCUGCAACUCGACUCCAUGAAGUUGGAAUCGCUAGUAAUCGUGGAUCAGCAUGCCACGGUGAAUACGUUCCCGGGCCUU